UACGUAGGGUGCAAGCGUUUAUCCGGAAUUAUUGGGCGUAAAGAGCUCGUAGGCGGUUUGUCACGUCUGCUGUGAAAACUGGAGGCUCAACCUCCAGCCUGCAGUGGGUACGGGCAGACUAGAGUGCGGUAGGGGAGAUUGGAAUUCCUGGUGUAGCGGUGGAAUGCGCAGAUAUCAGGAGGAACACCGAUGGCGAAGGCAGAUCUCUGGGCCGUAACUGACGCUGAGGAGCGGAAAGCAUGGGGAGCGAACAGG
Molecule: ribosomal RNA, 255 nt
Filed under: uncultured bacterium
Lineage: Bacteria
Description: partial 16S ribosomal RNA
Rfam family: Bacterial small subunit ribosomal RNA
Source: RNAcentral